RNAcentral lists this ribosomal RNA (251 nucleotides) under uncultured bacterium. RNAcentral describes it as "partial 16S ribosomal RNA". It matches the Rfam family "Bacterial small subunit ribosomal RNA", at positions 524 to 775 of the family's 1533-position model. The record is from RNAcentral.
UACGGAGGAUGCGAGCGUUAUCCGGAUUUAUUGGGUUUAAAGGGUGCGCAGGCGGGCAGUUAAGUCAGCGGUAAAAGCCCGGGGCUCAACCCCGGCGAGCCGUUGAAACUGGUUGUCUUGAGUUGGAGAGAAGUAUGCGGAAUGCGCGGUGUAGCGGUGAAAUGCAUAGAUAUCGCGCAGAACUCCGAUUGCGAAGGCAGCAUACCGGCUCCAUACUGACGCUGAGGCACGAAAGUGCGGGGAUCGAACAG